This 684-nucleotide long non-coding RNA is filed under the name Bos mutus (wild yak). Its description in RNAcentral is "lncRNA (ENSBMUG00000003108.1)". The record is from RNAcentral. Lineage: Eukaryota; Metazoa; Chordata; Mammalia; Artiodactyla; Bovidae.
GAAGUUCCCUAAACUCUUUCCUAAGAUUAAACUCCUUUGACCUUAAUUCCCUUUAAGGAAGAAGGCAGGGGAAGAACGCUGGCUUCGUUUUCUAAAUGAGGAUUCUGCUGCUCAGGCAGGCUAGAAGAUUCCCCAGGCUCGUGUGGCUGGUGGACACCCAGAGUGCUGCUGCUAGAACCCAGGAUGUCUGUUCUGUCUCCAACACGUAAGGGCCAGAGGCCUUGCAGAGAAAACCUUGUUGAACCCACUUGCCUCAGACACAAGGAAGCCAAGGUCAAAUCGGAACGUCUGAUGGACCCAGAGCCCUCCCAAGAGUCAGCUCUCAGCCCAGAACUUUCUCUGCGACCCAGGGCCUGUUUUGAGCAUUUAUCCUCUCUGACUGGAUCCCCCACGAGAGACUUAACUCAAGGAUUCCUGGACGGACUCACCUCCCUCCGCCCGCUCUCCCUGCCCGCCAGGGACCUGGAGAGGCACGAAGCAGGGAGAGGUCACAGCCACGGGCAGGUCAAGGUGGGUGUGCCCACCCCUGGAGAGGCAGAAGCCUGUGACUCCCCUGAAAACCUGAACGGCUUCUCCUAGUCCCUGGUACCCAAAAUGAGCAGACAGCUCUGCACACGGGGGCUCCCAGUGCCAGAGAGAUACACCUGCCCUGCAGCCCGGGAGAGGGGACAGGCCUCCAGCUCC